This 497-nucleotide ribosomal RNA is filed under the name uncultured bacterium. RNAcentral describes it as "partial 16S ribosomal RNA". It matches the Rfam family "Bacterial small subunit ribosomal RNA", at positions 28 to 507 of the family's 1533-position model. The record is from RNAcentral.
GACGAACGCUGGCGGCGUGCCUAAUACAUGCAAGUUGAGCGCUGAAGGUUGGUACCUGUACCAACUGGAUGAGCAGCGAACGGGUGAGUAACGCGUGGGGAAUCUGCCUUUGAGCGGGGGACAACAUUUGGAAACGAAUGCUAAUACCGCAUAAAAACUUUAAACACAAGUUUUAAGUUUGAAAGAUGCAAUUGCAUCACUCAAAGAUGAUCCCGCGUUGUAUUAGCUAGUUGGUGAGGUAAAGGCUCACCAAGGCGAUGAUACAUCGCCGACCUGAGAGGGUGAUCGGCCACAUUGGGACUGAGACACGGCCCAAACUCCUACGGGAGGCAGCAGUAGGGAAUCUUAGGCAAUGGACGAAAGUCUGACCGAGCAACGCCGCGUGAGUGAAGAAGGUUUUCGGAUCGUAAAACUCGGUUGGUAGAGAAGAACGUUGGUGAGAGUGGAAAGCUCAUCAAGUGACGGUAACUACACAGAAAGGGACGGCUAACUACGUG